Trichosurus vulpecula (common brushtail) is the source of this 107-nucleotide small nuclear RNA. The record is from RefSeq and is a predicted model, not a curated record. NCBI's taxonomy places the organism in Eukaryota, Metazoa, Chordata, Mammalia, Diprotodontia, Phalangeridae.
GUGCUUGCUUCAGCAGCACAUAUACUAAAAUUGGAACAAUACAGAGAAUUUUAGCAUGACCUUUGUGCAAGGAUGACACACAAAUUCAUGAAACAUUCCAUAUUUUU